AUGAGAGCAGGUCGCUUUUCUGCUCAUAUUUCUCAGAUUUGUUGUAGAUGUGCUCAGCAGGAGGAUGAUAUUCACCUCUUUUUCCUUUGUGACUUUGCUAGAGCAGCUUGGUUUUCUUCUCCUUGGUUUCUUAGACCUGACACUCUGAUUCAAGGCCAUGACUCAAUGCAUUCUAUUCUCAUUCAUCUCGUUUUGAUGGGUCAUCCCUAUGCUUCCUUGCAAAAUGUUUUCAAUUUUUUAUUGUGCAUUUGGAAAGCUAGAAAUGAUUUCCUAUUUGAACGCAAAAGACACCUUCCUUAUCAAGUUCAUAUUGUUGAUGCUAAUAUGGAUUAUGCUUCGUGUGAGGAAUCUUUGCUUCCUUCUAAUAACAAAAUUUGCGCUAAUACUCAACAUGAUUUACAUGAAAUUCCUGAGCAAGGGCAAACUAUUAAAUCUGAUCUGCUGAUCACUGGAGCCAAAAUCUUUUCAGAUGCAGCUUUUAGAUCUUCAAAAAUCCCAAGUCUUCGCCAAGGACAAGUGAGGACAUGUGUAGGAGUCUACUUUUGUCUUCCUUCCUCUCAGGGAGAACUUAAUAUUCAGGUUCAAGCUUCGGCGCCUCCAACUUCAACUCCUCUUCAAGCAGAAGUUGUUGCUCUGGCAUGUGCAGCUCAUCUGGCAACCCAUCUUAAUGUUUAG
RNAcentral lists this ribosomal RNA (675 nucleotides) under Triticum aestivum (bread wheat). Its description in RNAcentral is "partial small subunit ribosomal RNA". Lineage: Eukaryota; Viridiplantae; Streptophyta; Magnoliopsida; Poales; Poaceae. The record is from RNAcentral.